UACAGGGGGGGCAAGCGUUGUUCGGAAUUACUGGGCGUAAAGGGUCUGUAGGUGGCCAACUAAGUCAGACGUGAAAUCCCUCAGCUUAACUGGGGAACUGCGUCUGAUACUGGAUGGCUUGAGUGUGGGAGAGGAAUGCGGAAUUCCAGGUGUAGCGGUGAAAUGCGUAGAUAUCUGGAGGAACACCGGUGGCGAAGGCGGCAUUCUGGACCAUAACUGACGCUGAGGAGCGAAAGCGUGGGCAGCAAACAGG
Molecule: ribosomal RNA, 253 nt
Filed under: uncultured bacterium
Lineage: Bacteria
Description: partial 16S ribosomal RNA
Rfam family: Bacterial small subunit ribosomal RNA
Source: RNAcentral